This 47-nucleotide transfer RNA is filed under the name Pseudomonas sp. RNAcentral describes it as "tRNA-Leu". Lineage: Bacteria; Pseudomonadati; Pseudomonadota; Gammaproteobacteria; Pseudomonadales; Pseudomonadaceae. The record is from RNAcentral. RNAcentral also lists the same sequence under 1 other name.
GGCUCAUAACCCGAAGGUCGUCGGUUCAAAUCCGGCUCCCGCAACCA